This 254-nucleotide ribosomal RNA is filed under the name uncultured bacterium. Its description in RNAcentral is "partial 16S ribosomal RNA". It matches the Rfam family "Bacterial small subunit ribosomal RNA", at positions 524 to 776 of the family's 1533-position model. The record is from RNAcentral.
UACGUAGGGUGCGAGCGUUGUCCGGAAUUAUUGGGCGUAAAGAGCUCGUAGGCGGUGUGUCGCGUCGGCCGUGAAAACCUGCAGCUUAACUGUGGGCUUGCGGUCGAUACGGGCAUCACUAGAGUUCGGCAGGGGAGACUGGAAUUCCUGGUGUAGCGGUGAAAUGCGCAGAUAUCGGGAGGAACACCGGUGGCGAAGGCGGGUCUCUGGGCCGAUACUGACGCUGAGGAGCGAAAGCGUGGGGAGCGAACAGG